Molecule: small nucleolar RNA, 70 nt
Filed under: Leptobrachium leishanense (Leishan spiny toad)
Lineage: Eukaryota; Metazoa; Chordata; Amphibia; Anura; Megophryidae
Description: Small nucleolar RNA SNORD30 (ENSLLEG00000027897.1)
Rfam family: Small nucleolar RNA SNORD30
About the family: U30 is a member of the C/D class of snoRNA which contain the C (UGAUGA) and D (CUGA) box motifs. U30 is encoded within the U22 snoRNA host gene (UHG) in mammals and is thought to act as a 2'-O-ribose methylation guide for ribosomal RNA.
Source: Rfam by way of RNAcentral
UGACAUGAUGAUUUAAUUUGGAAUCUCGUUCGUCUGAAUGAUACUGAUGUGAAGCUUUUAUCUGAUGGUC